RNAcentral lists this unclassified non-coding RNA (431 nucleotides) under Hevea brasiliensis (rubber tree). The record is from RNAcentral. Lineage: Eukaryota; Viridiplantae; Streptophyta; Magnoliopsida; Malpighiales; Euphorbiaceae.
CAUAUUAUGUAGUUAUGCGUGUUUGCUUUCUUUUCCUUGUUCCCUCAGUUUCGUUUUGUGUUGACAUGAUCUCAAGGACCUGACCACUUGAUGUGUUGCUCUGGUGGCUGGACCGGUGCUCUCUGGAUCUUAUUUAUAAGUAACUUUGUUUGAACAAAAAAAAACUGAGGGAACAAGCAAAAGAAAGCAAACACGCAUAACUACAUAAUAUGUAUGAUACGCAAUACAGAUAAUUGUUUCCAACUUUUAACACAUUAAAAUAUUUUUUGUCCUGAAAUCGAAACAGCCCUACAGCAAUAGUGAGCAAUGGAAUGCCAUGAUAUGAUAUCUCAUUUCCCGUCACCACCAAACAGGUAGUCCAGUGAAGACCCACCACCAGGAGCUGCAUGGACCUUUGUUGUAGGCCGAUCAGUGAGGAAGUUGCCACAGUU